AUUGAACGCUGGCGGCAGGCCUAACACAUGCAAGUCGAGCGGAUGAAGGGAGCUUGCUCCUGGAUUCAGCGGCGGACGGGUGAGUAAUGCCUAGGAAUCUGCCUGGUAGUGGGGGAUAACGUCCGGAAACGGGCGCUAAUACCGCAUACGUCCUGAGGGAGAAAGUGGGGGAUCUUCGGACCUCACGCUAUCAGAUGAGCCUAGGUCGGAUUAGCUAGUUGGUGGGGUAGAGGCCUACCAAGGCGACGAUCCGUAACUGGUCUGAGAGGAUGAUCAGUCACACUGGAACUGAGACACGGUCCAGACUCCUACGGGAGGCAGCAGUGGGGAAUAUUGGACAAUGGGCGAAAGCCUGAUCCAGCCAUGCCGCGUGUGGGAAGAAGGUCUUCGGAUUGUAAAGCACUUUAAGUUGGGAGGAAGGGCAGUAAGUUAAUACCUUGCUGUUUUGACGUUACCAACAGAAUAAGCACCGGCUAACUUCGUG
This 484-nucleotide ribosomal RNA is filed under the name uncultured bacterium. Its description in RNAcentral is "partial 16S ribosomal RNA". It matches the Rfam family "Bacterial small subunit ribosomal RNA", at positions 30 to 507 of the family's 1533-position model. The record is from RNAcentral.